GACGAACGCUGGCGGCGUGCUUAACACAUGCAAGUCGAACGGUGAAGCGCCUUCCUUUUUGGUGGGUGUGGAUGAGUGGCGAACGGGUGAGUGACGCGUGAGUAACCUGCCCCCUUCUUCUGGAUAACCGCAUGAAAGUGUGGCUAAUACGGGAUAUUCUGGGUCUGUCGCAUGAUGGGUCUGGGAAAGAUAUUGUUUCGGUGGGGGAUGGGCUCGCGGCCUAUCAGCUUGUUGGUGGGGUGAUGGCCUACCAAGGCGGUGACGGGUAGCCGGCCUGAGAGGGUGGACGGUCACACUGGGACUGAGACACGGCCCAGACUCCUACGGGAGGCAGCAGUGGGGAAUAUUGCACAAUGGGCGCAAGCCUGAUGCAGCGACGCCGCGUGAGGGAUGGAGGCCUUCGGGUUGUGAACCUCUUUCGCCAGUGAAGCAGGCCUGCCUCGUUUGUGGGUGGGUUGACGGUAGCUGGAUAAGAAGCGCCGGCUAACUACGUG
This 494-nucleotide ribosomal RNA is filed under the name uncultured bacterium. RNAcentral's name for it is "partial 16S ribosomal RNA". It matches the Rfam family "Bacterial small subunit ribosomal RNA", at positions 28 to 507 of the family's 1533-position model. The record is from RNAcentral.